UAGCCACGGUAAUACCAGCUUCUCGAGGUGGUGGGGGCGAUUAUUGGGCCUAAAGCGUCCGUAGCCUGCUUGUCAAGUCCUCCGUCAAAUCCGACGAUUCAAUCGUUGGGUCGCGGGGGAUACUGUCAAGCUAGGGGGCGGAAGAGGCUGACGGUAUUCGUCAGGGUAGGGGUGGAAAUCCUAUAAUCCUGGGAGGACCACCAGUGGCGAAGGC
RNAcentral lists this ribosomal RNA (214 nucleotides) under uncultured archaeon. Its description in RNAcentral is "partial 16S ribosomal RNA". It matches the Rfam family "Archaeal small subunit ribosomal RNA", at positions 462 to 673 of the family's 1478-position model. The record is from RNAcentral.